UGCCUCAGUACGGCGAGUGAGCGGCAAGAGCUCAAAUUUGAAAUCUGGCCCCUCCGGGGUCCGAGUUGUAAUUUGCAGAGGAUGCUUCGGGUGCGGCCCCUGUCUAAGUGCCCUGGAACGGGCCGUCAGAGAGGGUGAGAAUCCCGUCUUGGGCAGGGUGCCCGUGCCCGUGUGAACCCCCUUCGACGAGUCGAGUUGUUUUGGGAAUGCAGCUCUAAGUGGGUGGGUAAUUUUCUUCUAAGGAUAAAAUACCGGCCGGAAACCGAUAGCGCACAAGUAGAGUGAUCGAAAGAUGAAAAGCACUUUGAAAAGAGAGUUAAACAGCACGUGAAAUUGUUGAAAGGGAAGCGCUUGCGACCAGACUGGGCGGGCGGGGUUCAGCCAGCACUCGUGCUGGUGUACUUC
RNAcentral lists this ribosomal RNA (405 nucleotides) under Aspergillus insuetus. RNAcentral describes it as "eukaryotic LSU rRNA". It matches the Rfam family "Eukaryotic large subunit ribosomal RNA", at positions 76 to 476 of the family's 3401-position model. Lineage: Eukaryota; Fungi; Ascomycota; Eurotiomycetes; Eurotiales; Aspergillaceae. The record is from RNAcentral.